This 246-nucleotide unclassified non-coding RNA is filed under the name fungal sp. RNAcentral's name for it is "partial internal transcribed spacer region". The stretch from base 1 to 46 matches the Rfam family "Eukaryotic small subunit ribosomal RNA", at positions 1786 to 1831 of the family's 1831-position model. RNAcentral also lists the same sequence under 1 other name. Lineage: Eukaryota; Fungi. The record is from RNAcentral.
AAGUCGUAACAAGGUUUCCGUAGGUGAACCUGCGGAAGGAUCAUUAAAAAGGUUAAGAAUACCAUGUUCUUAAACCCCAUCUGUGUACUUGUACCCGUUGCUUCCGUGGGCUGCGGGCCAUGUGCCUGCAUCUCUGCCGUCAUGGUGGACCCACGGGAGGUAUUCAUAAACUCUGCCAUUUGGUGAUCUCGGUCUGAAUAUGUUUGAUCAAUGUUAAAACUUUCAACAACGGAUCUCUUGGUUCUC